RNAcentral lists this ribosomal RNA (219 nucleotides) under uncultured bacterium. RNAcentral describes it as "partial 16S ribosomal RNA". It matches the Rfam family "Bacterial small subunit ribosomal RNA", at positions 111 to 334 of the family's 1533-position model. The record is from RNAcentral.
UAAUGUAUGGGGAUCUGCCCGAUAGAGGGGGAUAACUACUGGAAACGGUGGCUAAUACCGCAUAAUGUCUACGGACCAAAGCAGGGGCUCUUCGGACCUUGCACUAUCGGAUGAACCCAUAUGGGAUUAGCUAGUGGUGGGGUAAAGGCUCACCUAGGCGACGAUCUCUAGCUGGUCUGAGAGGAUGAUCAGCCACACUGGGACUGAGACACGGCCCAG